UUAAUAAAAGCCAAAUAAGAGGCAUAACAUUGUUAAUGUUAUAACUGGAUUUAUAUUUCCUUAUUAAA
Molecule: transfer RNA, 68 nt
Filed under: Pylocheles mortensenii
Lineage: Eukaryota; Metazoa; Arthropoda; Malacostraca; Decapoda; Pylochelidae
Description: tRNA-Asn
Source: RNAcentral